AAGGUGAAACUGCAGAGAUCAUGGAAUGCAGCAGUUCAACUCAGUCUUUAUUGGAAGAAAAAGUUCAUAAGUCAAGGACUUGCAGGGGCACACUGACAUAGCACCAAGACUGAAGAAAAGAAUUAUUACCACCACCAACAGGCAUAAUGCUAGCUGCCAUCGAGGUGAGCCAAGGUCAUGGAUGCCAUUGCUUUCAUGCAGAUGUAGAACUCCUCGUCUAGACCGAAAGGGAAGAGGGCUAGCAAUGCAUAAGCAAGGGAAGCAUGCAGAUCAAUGUGUAUGGGGCACACAGUCAGAGAUCUUCCAUUGUUAGAAAUGAUGGUGUGAACUUUGUUUUAUUUUUUCAAGAACACCUAAUAGCUAAAACCUGCAAAAACACAAUGAAGAUA
This is a long non-coding RNA of Gavialis gangeticus (Gharial), 389 nucleotides long. RefSeq lists it as uncharacterized. The record is from RefSeq and is a predicted model, not a curated record. The transcript is spliced from 4 exons. NCBI's taxonomy places the organism in Eukaryota, Metazoa, Chordata, Crocodylia, Gavialidae.